This 463-nucleotide ribosomal RNA is filed under the name uncultured bacterium. RNAcentral describes it as "partial 16S ribosomal RNA". It matches the Rfam family "Bacterial small subunit ribosomal RNA", at positions 28 to 507 of the family's 1533-position model. The record is from RNAcentral.
GACGAACGCUGGCGGCGUGCUUAACACAUGCAAGUCGAGCGGAAAGGCCUUUUCGGAGGUACUCGAGUGGCGAACGGGUGAGUAACACGUGGGUGAUCUGCCCUGCACUCUGGGAUAAGCCUGGGAAACUGGGUCUAAUACCGGAUAGGACCGCACUUUAGUGUGUGUGGUGGAAAGUUUUUUCGGUGUAGGAUGAGCCCGCGGCCUAUCAGCUUGUUGGUGGGGUAAUGGCCUACCAAGGCGGCGACGGGUAGCCGGACUGAGAGGUUGGUCGGCCACAUUGGGACUGAGAUACGGCCCAGACUCCUACGGGAGGCAGCAGUGGGGAAGAUUGCACAAUGGGCGCAAGCCUGAUGCAGCGACGCCGCGUGGGGGAUGACGGCCUUCGGGUUGGAAACUCCUUUCGCCAGGGACGAAGCGUUUUGUGACGGUACCUGGAGAAGAAGCACCGGCUAACUACGUG